Oncorhynchus tshawytscha (Chinook salmon) is the source of this 751-nucleotide long non-coding RNA. The record is from Ensembl. Lineage: Eukaryota; Metazoa; Chordata; Actinopteri; Salmoniformes; Salmonidae.
GCUCAAAGAGGGCAGUGUUUCAUGUGAAACCCUGUGCUAUGUUCUCAUUGUGUAUCAGAGCGGUGUAAUGGAGGCUGCUCUGACUGAGCUAAUGGUACAGACUUAGUGCUCUCCCACUGGGCUCAGACAACCUGAUUCCUGAUCUGGCUGUCUCUGAUUUACGACGCUGGCCCGGAGGCUGAAACAAGCCCAAACAGACCCCUUUGGUCUGGACACAUGGCCCCACACGAUGGCCCAGCUGGUCAUGCAGCUAUCAGAGACUGCGGUAUUUGAGCUGGAGCGGGGAGGGGAGUGAGGAGCUGCCCAGCACACUGUGCUCAUAUCAAAGAGGACUUCCUUCACAACACACCUCCCACCCUGUCACACACACACGCAUGCGCACACACACACACCAACAACAACCUCUGACUUUCUAUAGCCCUCAUUGUAUGAGAGUGGGUUUGAGUGUCAUAAAACGCAGCCUUUACAGAGGAGAGAGAGUUUUCGAUGUCAUCAUGAGGGCUCGGGUCAGGAGAAUAUUGUACUAAGCAAUACAUCAAUGACAGACUUGAAAAACAUACAACUAACUAACAAAAGAGGCUUUCAGACAACUUUCCUAACCCCCCAUUAGGUUCUAAAAGGCCAAGCUUGAUGUUUCGGGGAAUGUUUAGUAGUGUUUUAAAAAUAUGUGCAUUUAAAUGCAUAUGCCUACAGUACUCUAACUGUCAUCGUGGACAAACAGAAUUAUUCGAAACUGACAGCAUCACCCACU